Molecule: ribosomal RNA, 460 nt
Filed under: uncultured bacterium
Lineage: Bacteria
Description: partial 16S ribosomal RNA
Rfam family: Bacterial small subunit ribosomal RNA
Source: RNAcentral
CCUACGGGAGACAGCAGUGAGGAAUAUUGCUCAAUGGACGAGAGUCUGAACCAGCCAAGUAGCGUGAAGGAUGACUGCCUUAUGGGCUGUAACCUCCUUUUAUAUGGGAAUAAAAUAGCUUUUGUAUUCCCCCUUGUAUGUACCAUACGUACAAGGAUCGGCCAACCCGGUUCCAGCAGCCGCGGCAAGACGGAGGAUCCGAGCGUUACCCGGAUUUAUUGGGUUUAACGGGAGCGUAGGUGGAUUGUUAAGUCAGUUGUGAAAGUUUGCGGCUCAACCGUAAAAUUGCAGUUGAAACUGGCAGUCUUGAGUGCAGUAGAGGAUAGCGGAAUUCGUGGUGUAGGGGUGAAAUGCUUAGAUAUCACGAAGAACUCCGAUGGCGAAGGCAACUCACUGGAAUGCAACUGACACUGAUGCGCGAAAGUGUGGGUAUCAAACAGGAUUAGAUACCCUGGUAGUC